AACGAACGCUGGCGGCAUGCCUAACACAUGCAAGUCGAACGAGACCUUCGGGUCUAGUGGCGCACGGGUGCGUAACGCGUGGGAAUCUGCCCCUUGGUUCGGAAUAACAGCGAGAAAUUGCUGCUAAUACCGGAUAAUGACGUAAGUCCAAAGAUUUAUCGCCAAGGGAUGAGCCCGCGUAGGAUUAGCUAGUUGGUGUGGUAAAGGCGCACCAAGGCGACGAUCCUUAGCUGGUCUGAGAGGAUGAUCAGCCACACUGGGACUGAGACACGGCCCAGACUCCUACGGGAGGCAGCAGUGGGGAAUAUUGGACAAUGGGCGAAAGCCUGAUCCAGCAAUGCCGCGUGAGUGAUGAAGGCCUUAGGGUUGUAAAGCUUUUUUACCCGGGAUGAUAAUGACAGUACCGGGAGAAUAAGCUCCGGCUAACUCCGUGCCAGCAGCCGCGGUAAU
RNAcentral lists this ribosomal RNA (450 nucleotides) under uncultured bacterium. RNAcentral describes it as "bacterial SSU rRNA". It matches the Rfam family "Bacterial small subunit ribosomal RNA", at positions 29 to 524 of the family's 1533-position model. The record is from RNAcentral.